AACGUAGGGGACAAGCGUUAUCCGGAUUUACUGGGCGUAAAGCGCCCGUAGGCGGCUAAUCAAGUUGGAUGUGAAAGCUCCCGGCUUAACUGGGAGAGGUCAUUCAAAACUGGUUAGCUAGAGGAUGGAAGAGGAGAGCGGAAUUCCCGGUGUAGUGGUGGAAUGCGUAGAGAUCGGGAGGAACACCAGUGGCGAAAGCGGCUCUCUGGUUCACACCUGACGCUGAGGGGCGAAAGCGUGGGGAGCGAACGGGAUUAGAUACCCCGGUAGUCCACGCUGUAAACGAUGGAUACUAGGUGUAGGGGGUCAUUAACCCCCUCUGUGCCGCAGCUAACGCGUUAAGUAUCCCGCCUGGGGAGUACGGCCGCAAGGUUAAA
This 377-nucleotide ribosomal RNA is filed under the name uncultured bacterium. Its description in RNAcentral is "bacterial SSU rRNA". It matches the Rfam family "Bacterial small subunit ribosomal RNA", at positions 524 to 898 of the family's 1533-position model. The record is from RNAcentral.